AGCGAACGCUGGCGGCAGGCCUAACACAUGCAAGUCGAACGAACUCUUCGGAGUUAGUGGCGGACGGGUGAGUAACACGUGGGAACGUGCCUUUUGGUUCGGAAUACCUCAGGGAAACUUGUGCUAAUACCGAAUGUGCCCUUCGGGGGAAAGAUUUAUCGCCAUUAGAGCGGCCCGCGUCUGAUUAGCUAGUUGGUGAGGUAACGGCUCACCAAGGCGACGAUCAGUAGCUGGUCUGAGAGGAUGACCAGCCACACUGGGACUGAGACACGGCCCAGACUCCUACGGGAGGCAGCAGUGGGGAAUCUUGCGCAAUGGGCGAAAGCCUGACGCAGCCAUGCCGCGUGAAUGAUGAAGGUCUUAGGAUUGUAAAAUUCUUUCAACGGGGACGAUAAUGACGGUACCCGGAGAAGAAGCCCCGGCUAACUUCGUG
This 433-nucleotide ribosomal RNA is filed under the name uncultured bacterium. RNAcentral describes it as "partial 16S ribosomal RNA". It matches the Rfam family "Bacterial small subunit ribosomal RNA", at positions 29 to 507 of the family's 1533-position model. The record is from RNAcentral.